GGAGAGGUGUCCGAGUGGUUUAAGGAGCCGCUCUCGAAAAGCGGUGGGCGAUAAGCCUCGUGGGUUCGAAUCCCACCCUCUCCGCCA
Molecule: transfer RNA, 87 nt
Filed under: Chloroflexota bacterium
Lineage: Bacteria; Bacillati; Chloroflexota
Also listed under: 1 other name
Description: Chloroflexi bacterium (marine metagenome) tRNA-Ser
Rfam family: tRNA
About the family: Transfer RNA (tRNA) molecules are approximately 80 nucleotides in length. Their secondary structure includes four short double-helical elements and three loops (D, anti-codon, and T loops). Further hydrogen bonds mediate the characteristic L-shaped molecular structure. tRNAs have two regions of fundamental functional importance: the anti-codon, which is responsible for specific mRNA codon recognition, and the 3' end, to which the tRNAs corresponding amino acid is attached (by aminoacyl-tRNA synthetases). tRNAs cope with the degeneracy of the genetic code in two manners: having more than one tRNA (with a specific anti-codon) for a particular amino acid; and 'wobble' base-pairing, i.e. permitting non-standard base-pairing at the 3rd anti-codon position.
Source: RNAcentral